GAGAAAUAGGGUAGAGAGAGAGAAAAAUGUAGAGAGAGAAAGGGGGAAAAUAUGUAGAAAGGGGGAAAAUAGGUAGAGAGAAAGAGGGAAAAUAGGUAGAGAGAGAGAGGGAAAAUAGGCAGAGAGAGAGAAAUAGGUAGAGAGAGAGAAAUAGGUAGAGAGAGAGAAAUAGGUAGAGAGGGAAAUAGGUAGAGAGAGAGAGGGAAAAUAGGUAGAGAGAGAGGGGGAAAAUAGGUAGAGAGAGAAAGAGGGAAAAUCGGUAGAGAGAGAAAGAGGGAAAAUAGGUAGAGAGAGAGAGGGAAAAUAGGUAGAGAGAGAGAAAUAUGUAGAGCGAGAGAGAGGGAAAAUAGGUAGAGAGAGAGAAAUAUGUAGAGCGAGAAAGAGGGAAAAUAGGUAGAGAGAGAGAAAUAUGUAGAGCGAGAAAGAGGGAAAAUAGGUAGAGAGAGAAAUAUGUAGAGAGAGAGAGAAAAUAUGUAGAGAGAGAAAGAGGGAAAUAGGUAGAGAGAGAGAGGGAAAAUAGGUAGAGAGAGAGAGGGAAAAUAGGUAGAGAGAGAGAAAGGGGGAAAAUAGGUAGAGAGAGAGGGAAAAUAGGUAGAGAGAGAGGGAAAAUAGGUAGAGAGAGAGGGAAAAUAGGUAGAGAGAGAGAGGGAAAAUAGGUAGAGAGAGAGAAAUAUGUAGAGCGAGAAAGAGGGAAAAUAGGUAGAGAGAGAAAUAUGUAGAGAGAGAGAGGGAAAUAGGUAGAGAGAGAGAGGGAAAAUAGGUAGAGAGAGAGAAAUAUGUAGAGCGAGAAAGAGGGAAAAUAGGUAGAGAGAGAAAUAUGUAGAGAGAGAGAGGGAAAAUAUGUAGAGAGAGAAAGAGGGAAAAUAGGUAGAGAGAGAGGGAAAAUAGGUAGAGAGAGAGAGGGAAAAUAGGUAGAGAGAGAGAGGGAAAAUAGGUAGAGAGAGAAAGAGGGAAAAUAGGUAGAGAGAGAGGGAAAAUAGGUAGAGAGAGAGAGGGAAAAUAGGUAGAGAGAGAGAGGGAAAAUAGGUAGAGAGACAGAGGGAAAAUAGGUAGAGAGAGAGGGAAAAUAGGUAGAGAGAGAGAGGGAAAAUAGGUAGAGAGAAAUAUGUAGAGAGAGAAAGAGGGAAAAUAGGUAGAGAGAGAGGGAAAAUAGGUAGAGAGAGAGAAAUAUGUAGAGAGAGAAAGAGGGAAAAUAUGUAGAGAGAGAAAGAGGGAAAAUAUGUAGAGAGAGAAAGAGGGAAAAUAUGUAGAGAGAGAAAGAGGGAAAAUAGGUAGAGAGAGAGAGGGAAAAUAGGUAGAGAGAGAGAGGGAAAAUAGGUAGAGAGAGAAAUAUGUAAAGAGAGAGGGGAAAUAGGUAGAGAGAGAGAGGGAAAAUAGGGGGAGAGAGAGAGGGAAAAUAGGUAGAGAGAGAAAGAGAGAAAAUAGGUAGAGAGAGAAAUAUGUAGAGCGAGAGAGGGAAAAUAGGUAGAGAGAGAAAUAUGUAGAGAGAGAAAGAGGGAAAAUAGGUAGAGAGAGAAAUAUGUAGAGCGAGAGAGGGAAAAUAGGUAGAGAGAGAAAUAUGUAGAGCGAGAAAGAGGGAAAAUAGGUAGAGAGAGAGAAAUAUGUAGAGAGGGAGAGGGAAAAUAGGUAGAGAGGAAUAUGUAGAGAGAGAAAGAAGGGAAAUAGGUAGAGAGAGAAAUAGGUAGAGAGAGAAAUAUGUAGAGAGAGAAAGAGGGAAAAUAGGUAGAGAGGGAAAAUAG
Oncorhynchus keta (chum salmon) is the source of this 1739-nucleotide long non-coding RNA. RefSeq lists it as uncharacterized. The record is from RefSeq and is a predicted model, not a curated record. The transcript has 7 exons. NCBI's taxonomy places the organism in Eukaryota, Metazoa, Chordata, Actinopteri, Salmoniformes, Salmonidae.